CCCUAAAAAGUCCUCUACACACAAAAGUUUAGUCCUGACUUUAUAGCCAAUUACCCCCCAACUUACACAUGCAAGUCUCCUCACCCCUGUGAGUAUGCCCUUUCCUUCCCUCUCGGAGUAAGGAGCCGGUAUCAGGCACCCCCCUGCCCAAGACACCUAGCAAAUAGCCACACCCACAAGGGCCACAGCAGUGAUUAACAUUAGACAUGAGCGCCAGCUCGACCUAGUUAGGGCGCCGUUAGGGCCGGCAAAACUGGUGCCAGCCGCCGCGGUUACACCACGAGGCCCAAAUUGACUUUAUUCGGCGUAAAGAGUGGUUAAAGACAAAAACAAGUAAAGCUAAACCCAAGUUAGGUGGUAAUAUGCCUACUCGGGGGAAACCCAAAACGAAAGUUACUUUACUCAUACUUGAACCCACGACAGCUGGGGCACAAACUGGGAUUAGAUACCCCACUAUGCCCGGCCAUAAACUCUUACUUACCUCCACAUGGAACUACGAGCAAUGCUUAAAACCUAAAGGACUUGACGGUACCCCACAUCCCCCUAGAGGAGCCUGUCCUAUAAUUGAUGACCCCCACUUAAC
Molecule: ribosomal RNA, 583 nt
Filed under: Ischnocnema verrucosa
Lineage: Eukaryota; Metazoa; Chordata; Amphibia; Anura; Brachycephalidae
Description: partial 12S ribosomal RNA
Rfam family: Bacterial small subunit ribosomal RNA
Source: RNAcentral